CAGUAGCCGCGGGAAUACGGAGGGUGCAAGCGUUAAUCGGAAUUACUGGGCGUAAAGCGCACGCAGGCGGUCUGUCGAGUCAGAUGUGAAAUCCCCGGGCUUAACCUGGGAACUGCAUUCAAAACUGACUGACUAGAGUAUGGUAGAGGGUGGUGGAAUUUCCUGUGUAGCGGUGAAAUGCGUAGGUAUAGGAAGGAACACCAGUGGCGAAGGCGACCACCUGGACUAAUACUGACACUGAGGUGCGAAAGCGUGGGGAGCAAACAGGAUUAGAUACCCCUGUAGUCCCUGUCUCUUAUAC
Molecule: ribosomal RNA, 301 nt
Filed under: uncultured bacterium
Lineage: Bacteria
Description: partial 16S ribosomal RNA
Rfam family: Bacterial small subunit ribosomal RNA
Source: RNAcentral